This 953-nucleotide long non-coding RNA is filed under the name Rosa chinensis. Its description in RNAcentral is "sRNA RchiOBHm_Chr4g0405651". The record is from RNAcentral. Lineage: Eukaryota; Viridiplantae; Streptophyta; Magnoliopsida; Rosales; Rosaceae.
GAUACGUUUCCUGCUCAAAAUCUCAAACUUGCUACUGCUCAGUUUAUUGCUUUGAGGUGUCGUUGAUAUUCUGGAUAUUUGGAGUAUCCAAUUGGGUUUUCUCUAUUUUUGGUUGAGAGCAACAAGUUGAAAUAGAGCACUGAGGAGUGUUCGGAUAGAAAAUAGUUUUGAAAUUUGAAAUGCUUGCUUCUUAUAUAAGGAAGAGCUAGAGCGAAUGCUGUGCAGAAAAGAGUACCUAAAACUUGCAGGAGUGCUAUCAAUUCUGCUUUGUUUAAGCAUUGGCCAAAGAACACCGAGACUGAAAAUGGGAUUUUACAUGGCGGUUCCAUGACUUUUUGACACACGAGUUCAGAAAGCAUAUAGGUUUUCCGAAAUUCCAAGCAGAUCAAUAAAACAAACAAGACAAAAGGUAUGUAAUUAACUUAUCUAUCAUCAGUGGAGGAAGACCGCUGAGGCAGCUCCUGCUAUUUUGACAGAACAGGUUCUCUUGACAGCCACUACAAUCCCUUGCGUUCACCUUAUUAAGAAGACUUCGAUGAUCACUCACCAAAAACAUGUUGAAGAAGAUUGGCCAAAAGUAGAUGGAAUUAUGCUACAGAUCAUAAUGAUGGUGCACACAGUUCAAAUUUGAGACACCCAACCUUUAAAAAACGAUAUCCAGACCAAAGUCCGCCUAUGCAGUGUCUGGCAAGCAGAAGUGUUCAAGCCUGUUGAGAAAUAUGACCUUCAAUUGUAUUACAACCUAUAUAGAAAAAUAUUUCUUUUUUAGGCUAUUUUUGUUGGCAGUAGUCAAUUUUGUAGCAGAUAACAAAACAGCUUUGUUCGUUUAGGAGAUCAAUUUUUUGCAAAAUGUAAAUAGAACAUUGGUUAAGAUACCAGCUUCUACUUGGGAUCUCUACUUGCAUAAUAUGUAACUGUAUAAAAAUUCAUAAACUAUGACUAUCAAACUUGGC